RNAcentral lists this ribosomal RNA (274 nucleotides) under uncultured bacterium. RNAcentral describes it as "partial 16S ribosomal RNA". It matches the Rfam family "Bacterial small subunit ribosomal RNA", at positions 523 to 796 of the family's 1533-position model. The record is from RNAcentral.
AUACGGAGGGUGCGAGCGUUAAUCGGAAUUACUGGGCGUAAAGCGUGCGUAGGCGGUUUGCUAAGUCAGAUGUGAAAGCCCCGGGCUUAACCUGGGAACUGCAUUUGAUACUGGCGGACUAGAGUAUGAUAGAGGGGGGUAGAAUUCCUGGUGUAGCGGUGAAAUGCGUAGAUAUCAGGAGGAAUACCAGUGGCGAAGGCGGCCCCCUGGAUCAAUACUGACGCUGAGGUACGAAAGCGUGGGGAGCGAACAGGAUUAGAAACCCUAGUAGUCC